UAGGGAAUAUUGGACAAUGGGCGAAAGCCUGAUCCAGCAACGCCGCGUGCGCGAUGACGGCCUUCGGGUUGUGAAGCGCUUUUAGAGGAGAUGAGAAAGGACAGUAUCCUCAGAAUAAGCCUCGGCGAACUACGUGCCAGCAGCCGCGGUAAAACGUAGGAGGCUAGCGUUAUCCGGAUUUAUUGGGCGUAAAGCGCGUGCAGGCGGUUUGAUAAGUUGGAUGUGAAAUCUCCCGGCUUAACUGGGAGCGGUCGUUCAAAACUAUCAGAAUAGAGGAUGGGAGAGGAAGGUGGAAUUCCGGGUGUAGUGGUGAAAUGCGUAGAUAUCCGGAGGAACACCAGUGGCGAAAGCGGCCUUCUAGACCAUUUCUGACGCUAAGACGCGAAAGCUAGGG
Molecule: ribosomal RNA, 394 nt
Filed under: uncultured bacterium
Lineage: Bacteria
Description: bacterial SSU rRNA
Rfam family: Bacterial small subunit ribosomal RNA
Source: RNAcentral